GUACUUGCUUUGGCAGUACAUAUACUAAAAGUGGAACGAUACAGAGGAGAUUAGCAUGGUCCCUGCGCAAUGGAUGACACGCAAAAUCGUGAGGCGUUUCACAUUUUU
Molecule: small nuclear RNA, 108 nt
Organism: Schistocerca serialis cubense
Lineage: Eukaryota; Metazoa; Arthropoda; Insecta; Orthoptera; Acrididae
Source: RefSeq, a predicted model, not a curated record